AAUAAGAGAAAAAGAGAAACUGAGAUUAUGUGUGUCGUUGAGGUUUGGUUUAAAUUUGGUGUUUGAAAUUUGAAUUGAAGAGAAAACGAGUGGAUUAGGUUAGAUUCAUCAUUUCGCAGCCGAGGCCAGAUUAAACGCAGUGAGUUGAACUCGGUGGAGAGGCAUAGCCGUCGGACUGUGAAGGUGACUUUCGCGACUUUGAUCUGGGUUGAGAUCUAAUCGAUUUGCGAGCAGAUCGAAGUCGCACUCCCAAAAGCAACAGUGAAGAUGUUGGAGAAAAAAGGAGAGUUCAACAUGGUGAAAGUCAUAGAGGAUUUUGAAGCAAUGACAAGUGAUGUGGAGAGGAUCCAGAAGGAGACCCUCAAGAAGAUUCUCGAGCAAAACUGAUUUGCAGAGUACUUGCAGCUCAUGGGACUUAAUGGAAGAACUGACCUUGAGAGUUUCAAGAGGUGUGUUCCUCUUGUUACUCACAAGUCACGAGAACUUAGACCCUUAUAUUCUAAGAAUUGCUGAUGGUGAGUCCUCUUCAGUUCUCAUUGACAACAAUCUCACUGAGUUCUGGUACUACUCAAGAAAGGUCAAAGUUUGUGCCUUUCAAUGAUGAACUGAUGGAAAAUACCAUGCAGAUACAUCAAACCUCUUUUGCCUUCAGAAACAGGGAGUUUCGUAUUGGGAAUGGCCGAAUGGGAAGGCUUUACGGUUCAUCUAUGGAAUCAAGAAAUUUCAUACCAAAGGUGGUUUGGCAACUGGGACUAUUACCACCAAUGUUUACCGUUGCUCCAAGAUCAAGGAAACAAUGAAGGCCAUGCAGACCCCUUGCUGCAUCCCUGAUGAAGUAAUAUUUGGUCUCAAGUUUCAUCAAUCUCUAUACUACCAUCUGUUAUUAUGACCUUGAAUCGAUUGAAGAAUAUGAGCGCGAGAGGUACAUAUUUGUCUUUGUGAAGCAAAAAAGGUUGGUCUUGUAUUUGGUGGAAGCGGGGACGCUGCAAGCUAGUACUGUUGCGGAUCGUAUACAGUUCUAUAUGCAGCAGUGCUGCUUACAGGUAAUUGUAAGUCAGUGGAGUGGUGACAUUUUAUUGCUCAAAUGGUUUUGGAAUUUGAAUUUGUUGUUAUAUGCUGGUGAUUCCUCUGCAUCUUCCCCCCGGUGACACCUCAAUCAAAAGACGGUACAAAUUGAUGGAACUAAUGAACAAAUUGAAGCUGCCAAACAGUUGGUGAAUGAAUUUAUUAGCAAGCUUGAUGACUGCAUUAAGGAUUAUGACAACGUUGUCGAAAAGGGAAGAGAGGGCGGUUCUAGGAAGUGUAAUGAACUAUGGUGCUCAUCAUGCUCACUGCAAUGUUAUGAUCGUGAAGAGGCCUAGAAUCAAACUCUAUAGCACGUCUAGUUGAUUGUCUUCUGCUCCUUGUUUUUGCAAACUAAUGUAAAUAAACAUGGUGCAGUCAGAUUUUUUUUUCUGAAUAAUAGUGCAAUCAGAUUAAUGAAAAUUCAAUUCCAUAAAGACCAUUGGAUCAAUUACCUUGUAUAAGUACCAUUGGAUUAAAUAGUGGAUGAUUUAGGAGGCAUUGACCU
This is a long non-coding RNA of Argentina anserina (silverweed cinquefoil), 1570 nucleotides long. RefSeq lists it as uncharacterized. The record is from RefSeq and is a predicted model, not a curated record. The transcript is spliced from 8 exons. Lineage: Eukaryota; Viridiplantae; Streptophyta; Magnoliopsida; Rosales; Rosaceae.